This 931-nucleotide long non-coding RNA is filed under the name Hordeum vulgare. RNAcentral describes it as "long non-coding RNA (HVUL_LNC007613)". The record is from RNAcentral. Lineage: Eukaryota; Viridiplantae; Streptophyta; Magnoliopsida; Poales; Poaceae.
CCUUACCGCGCGCCAUCAAAUCAAUCCAAGUUGAACGGAUUUCCACUCGAUCAAGUAAGUUGCUUCUUGUUGCUUGCUUGUUUGCUACAGCUCUGCUCGUCUGACCUUCUCCUCCUCCUCUCGUUCGAGCUUUAUAUAUGCGGCGACGCCAACGCGGUGGGCGAGAUGACCAUGGCGGCACAACUCGGGUGUAAAUGGUUGGAAAUGGAUAGGAAGACGCGAAAACAAAUAACAACACGAGCGAGAAACCGAGAACGAGACUAGAGGAAGACGAUUCAAAGUCAAUUGUACGCCUGGUCAAUAAACAAGUGCCUGCUGAGCCUGACGGCUGUGGGGUUUCCUUGGAAGAUUCCGGUCUGAAGGGAAAGCUCGCGCUGCUGACGUUGUCAGCGCAAUGCCUUGGCGAAGGAGAUCAGCAAUGUUUGGAUUGACUACAAAUGUCUCAUUAGUUUGUUGAGCUCAUUAUCGUUGUGUGUUUUUUUUUUUUGGAACCUGGAGCUCAUUAUCGUUGUUUGUUAGUGGAAGAUUUUCGCCUUGGUGCUCAAGUCAAACUUAUUCGGUUUAUCAUUUCAUCAUCUCUGAUGCACUACAAAACAUUGUUUGACUCUGGAUCUCUGUUUUCUUUAAAUCUCUUUCUUGCUGUGAGAGUCUCUGAUGACAGGAGGGAUGACGCUGACAUGCAAGUGGCUGACCGUAUAAUUUUUCUUUUCUGUUUCUAGAACAAAGCUCAUGGGAAUGGGAUGAUGCUACGCUACGGGACACCGUUUAGCUUGGAGAGACGGCAAAUUGCGAACACUAUGGUCUCUUUGCACAUGAAACAGGUUCCCUUUCUCGUUUAUAUUUAAAACAUGUUCAGGACCGCUCUAUUUAUAAAAAUUCAGCUCCGUUUUAGAAAAUGUAAGCCAAACGGGAUAGCUUCACGAUAUACCUC